Non-coding RNA from Pelodiscus sinensis (Chinese soft-shelled turtle), 1960 nucleotides. Lineage: Eukaryota; Metazoa; Chordata; Testudines; Trionychidae. The record is from RefSeq and is a predicted model, not a curated record.
CCGCCGGGGUGACAUGGGGUGGAGAGUCAGGCGGUUGUAAAGGGCAGCCCCAGGGAGGACCCGUCGGGCAGCGAGCUCGUGGCCUGAGAGAGUGACGGACGCAAAGGGGAGCGGGGCGGGCUGGGGCGAGCGCCAUGGCGGACAGCGCAGCUUUAUCUUCACGGUACAGAACAAUGCUGGGAAUCCUGCUCGCCUGAGGAGCUGCAGGAACAGGUUCUAGGAGCGCUUCUGAUUGCUGCUGUCCCUGGGUCCCUGCCUGCCAGCCGCUAUGUACUGCCUUCAGUGGUUACUGCCUGUCCUCCUCAUCCCUAAGCCCCUCAACCCAGCUUUGUGGUUCAGUCACUCAAUGUUCAUGGGCUUCUAUCUGCUGAGUUUUCUCCUGGAGCGGAAGCCAUGCACAAUCUGUGCCUUGGUCUUUCUGGCAGCCUUGUUUCUCAUCUGCUACAGCUGCUGGGGGAACUGCUUCUUGUAUCACUGCAGUGGCUCCCAGCUGCCUGAAUCUGCUCACGAUCCCAGCAUAGUUGGUACCUAAAGGAUCCUCCAGCUUGCUAACAGCGCUGGGUUUGCUUUUAAAAGAAGGGGUUUGGGUGAGGUUGGGGGGAGGGAGGGCUUGUUAGGCAUGUGACUGGAGUACAAGCAGCCUGUUUUCUAUAACGUGUGUGUGGACUAGAGCGGUAAAUUCCUGAUCAGCCCUCCCACAUGGCGUAUGAAAUUUGACGUCCGUUGUUUACUGUGUGAAUCUGGCACUGCCACCUGCUUUUAGAAGCAGAAGAGUUAUAUAUUUUCCCUUCCCUUAUUUCUGGGAAUGGACACUGGCCCUCUCCUCUGGGAAGUGGUGGAAGAAGGACCUGUUGCAGCUCUCCCACUGUUGCAUGGUGUUGGUCAUCCAUGUUUGGUUCUCGAUGGUCUGUAUACAGCCCCAGCUGUCUCUGGAAGCAUUGGGCCCACCAAUUCCGUGGAAGCAGUGAGAAGAUUCUCCAUGCUGCUGUUUGCGGGGGAGCCAGUCUUCAUUGCUCUGGAUUUGCAAUAACUUAACAGAUGCUCUUGGCUGAAAGCUGCUGGAGCCAGAGACUGCUGAGUCAUCUCCUCCUGCUCAUCAUGCCAAAUUGAAAAUGUGCACUGCCCAAGUGCUUUCUGAACAACUUGCGUUCUCCCAGAUCAGAACUGAAAAACCUUUGCGUUGUCACAGAGCUGUGUCUAAAGCGCUUCUCACAGGCAUCGGAGCCUGCCUCCCUCUCUGCUGUAUUUCCACAGUUUACUGAGGUCUUGACUCUGGAUACGAAGCAUGCUCUGCUGUGGUGUUUGAGGUUGUUUUCAUUUCACUGUUAGUUUAACACUGUCAGCAUUUCUAGCUGGAGUAGUGAGGUGAAAGCAGAGAGGGAGGGUUCAGAGUUUUAGUAAGCAUGAUUGGGGUGGUUCAAAAUAGCAUAUGGUUGUAUCCAUUCAACUGACAGUGUUUGCAGGCCGGGGCUGCCUGUGCAUUUUCUUUUGUCCCAAGCAAACCAACCACUGUUAAUGUGCAAUGGAGGGUGGGAGUAAUAAAGGGCUAGUGAGCAGUCCUGGGAUCUCUGUUCUCUGCUGGCAGGCUGGUUUUGGGGAGCCCAUGGGAGGUUUCCCUAGUGGUACUUGCUGUACAGCUUUCUUUCCUGCUCUUCUGGUCCAGUGCAUAGCAGCACCUCCCAGAAGGAAUGGUGUUCCUUGCUAUGGCAAAUGUUUGCUUGUGAAAAACUUAACCAGUUUUUGAAAUACACUGGGUUUAUAUGUUUUCAAGGUUAUGUUCCAAUUUGCCAUCCAUUUGUUUCCAUACAAGCUUCUCUUACUGCAGAGCAGCAGAAAUGGUUGUUGCUCUCUCAAGGGGGGUUAAAACUAAAACCAGCUGUGAAACUUCCAGAGCAUUGUACUGUUUGUUCACUGCACAGCUGUUCACAAUGUUCAAUAAAGCUUUAUAAACUUUGGUCUA